Molecule: ribosomal RNA, 388 nt
Filed under: uncultured bacterium
Lineage: Bacteria
Description: bacterial SSU rRNA
Rfam family: Bacterial small subunit ribosomal RNA
Source: RNAcentral
GACGAACGCUGGCGGCGUGCUUAACACAUGCAAGCCGAGCGGUAAGGCCCUUUCGGGGGUACACGAGCGGCGAACGGGUGAGUAACACGUGGGUGACCUGCCCUCAGCUCUGGGAUAAGCCUGGGAAACCGGGUCUAAUACCGGAUAUGACUCCAUGACGCAUGUUGUGGGGUGGAAAGCCUUGUGCGGCUGAGGAUGGGCCCGCGGCCUAUCAGCUUGUUGGUGGGGUGAUGGCCUACCAAGGCGACGACGGGUAGCCGGCCUGAGAGGGCGACCGGCCACACUGGGACUGAGACACGGCCCAGACUCCUACGGGAGGCAGCAGUGGGGAAUCUUGCGCAAUGGGCGAAAGCCUGACGCAGCGACGCCGCGUGAGGGAUGACGGCCU